RNAcentral lists this ribosomal RNA (248 nucleotides) under uncultured bacterium. Its description in RNAcentral is "partial 16S ribosomal RNA". It matches the Rfam family "Bacterial small subunit ribosomal RNA", at positions 85 to 334 of the family's 1533-position model. The record is from RNAcentral.
AGGAUGGCGACCGGCGCACGGGUGAGUAACACGUAUCCAACCUGCCGAUAACUCGGGGAUAGCCUUUCGAAAGAAAGAUUAAUACCCGAUGGCAUAAUAGAACCGCAUGGUUUGAUUAUUAAAGAAUUUCGGUUAUCGAUGGGGAUGCGUUCCAUUAGGCAGUUGGUGGGGUAACGGCCCACCAAACCUUCGAUGGAUAGGGGUUCUGAGAGGAAGGUCCCCCACAUUGGAACUGAGACACGGUCCAA